Molecule: ribosomal RNA, 379 nt
Filed under: uncultured eukaryote
Lineage: Eukaryota
Description: partial 18S ribosomal RNA
Rfam family: Eukaryotic small subunit ribosomal RNA
Source: RNAcentral
CAAUAGCGUAUAUUAAAGUUGUUGCAGUUAAAAAGCUCGUAGUUGAAUUUCUGGUGUGGCGCGCCCGGCCCUCUGCGGAAACGCAUGUGUGUGCUGGUUUGCGUGCCUACCAUCCUCGCCGUGAGUGACACUUUCGGGUGUCUCGACCGGUGACUUUUACUUUGAAGAAAUUAGAGUGUUCAAGGCAGGCGUUUGCUCUGAAUACAUUAGCAUGGAAUAAUAAUCUAGGACUUUAGUCCUAUUUUGUUGGUCUCUAGGACUGAAGUAAUGAUUGAUAGGGAUAGUUGGGGGUGCUCGUAUUGAGUGGCCAGAGGUGAAAUUCUUGGAUUCACUCAAGACGAACUAAUGCGAAAGCAUUCACCAAGGAUAUCUNCUUUAA